Molecule: non-coding RNA, 756 nt
Organism: Microcebus murinus (gray mouse lemur)
Lineage: Eukaryota; Metazoa; Chordata; Mammalia; Primates; Cheirogaleidae
Source: RefSeq, a predicted model, not a curated record
CCGCCCUGCCUGGCCUUUGGCGCCCGCAGAGCCCCGCCUCGCAGAGCCCCUCCGGGUAUUGCCACCUGUCGGGACAGAGCGGAGCGCCGGGCCUGGGGCGGUGGGUGUCCUCUCAGCCCGGUCCUGGCCGCCAGCCGUGAGCCCGCGCCGGGCAGGCCCUGCUGAGUCAGGCGUCAAGCUGGGCUCGGAGAACCUUUGCUUGUGUCGCCAACCCCCUCGUACGUUUGUAAGAUGACGUCUAAAAUUUUCAUCCUACAUUUAAGUAGGUGUGGACAUAACGUCGUGUAAAAAUGGACACCUGUGGCAGGCGGCUUCGAGAGGGCGACCUUCUCGGCCCUCCUCCCCGCGGUGUGGCCGGCCUAGACGCCUGGUUCUAAGGGUGGAAAGUGACUAGAGUAAGACAAAAACGGCAGCGUGUCCCGCACGAGGUCAGGGACAAGCAGACCAGGACUCCCGGCCGGCCAGCCGCUCGCGCAGUUCCGGGGCCCAGUGCACAGCGCCGAGCCACAGCUGGUAACAAGCCCAGGCCCUCCGCUCGCCGCUGCAAUGAUUUCUGCACAACUGAGCAAAAUAAUGACUGGUGGUGUCAUAAGAAGAGGAAGAAAGCCCUGAGUGGAGUGCUCUUUGCCCUCUCGUCACGUGUGCCCUCUGCCAUGCUAUGACACAGAAGGUCCUCACCUGAUGCCUCAGCCAUGCCCUUGGACUUCCCAGCCUCCAGGAUUGUGAGCUGAAUAAACUUCUUUCUUUCUUUUUAAA